Molecule: ribosomal RNA, 468 nt
Filed under: uncultured bacterium
Lineage: Bacteria
Description: partial 16S ribosomal RNA
Rfam family: Bacterial small subunit ribosomal RNA
Source: RNAcentral
GACGAACGCUGGCGGCGUGCUUAACACAUGCAAGUCGAACGGAAAGGCCCUGCUUUUGUGGGGUGCUCGAGUGGCGAACGGGUGAGUAACACGUGAGUAACCUGCCCUUGACUUUGGGAUAACUUCAGGAAACUGGGGCUAAUACCGGAUAGGAGCUCCUGCUGCAUGGUGGGGGUUGGAAAGUUUCGGCGGUUGGGGAUGGACUCGCGGCUUAUCAGCUUGUUGGUGGGGUAGUGGCUUACCAAGGCUUUGACGGGUAGCCGGCCUGAGAGGGUGACCGGCCACAUUGGGACUGAGAUACGGCCCAGACUCCUACGGGAGGCAGCAGUGGGGAAUAUUGCACAAUGGGCGGAAGCCUGAUGCAGCAACGCCGCGUGCGGGAUGACGGCCUUCGGGUUGUAAACCGCUUUCGCCUGUGACGAGGCGUGAGUGGCGGUAAUGGGUAAAGAAGCACCGGCUAACUACGUG